RNAcentral lists this ribosomal RNA (118 nucleotides) under Neogale vison (American mink). Lineage: Eukaryota; Metazoa; Chordata; Mammalia; Carnivora; Mustelidae. The record is from RNAcentral.
GUCUACGGCCAUACCACCCUGAACGCGCCCGAUCUCGUCUGAUCGCGGAAGCUAAGCAGGGUCGGGCCUGGUUAGUACAUGGAUGGGAGGAGAGGGAAAGGUAGGAGAGCUGGUGAUC